Long non-coding RNA from Lycium barbarum (goji berry), 671 nucleotides. RefSeq lists it as uncharacterized. The record is from RefSeq and is a predicted model, not a curated record. The transcript has 3 exons. Lineage: Eukaryota; Viridiplantae; Streptophyta; Magnoliopsida; Solanales; Solanaceae.
UUUGCCAUUGCUCUUGUUUGUUAGACCUUCUACACCUAUUUCUUCUCUCUUUCUUAUUACUUCUACGGUAUGAUUGGAGUGAUAACUUUCUGGUUUCUAUCCGUCGUUGUUAGCGAACAACGGACUUGGAAGUAAGGAUAAUUGAUAUGAUGUUGGGAUUGGAUUUGAUUUCAUAUCAUCGGCACUCAUACAGAUGAAGAAGAGCAGUUGGACCGAGUACAGGUUCAAAGAUAUCUCUACGAAAGGGUUGAACACCGUGAAGUUCACCACUUUAGCGUAGAGGAAAUUCUAAAGAACUUUGUGAUGAUUUAAAGGUUGCCAGGACAAUAAGUUGAGUGUAAGAAGAGCUGUUGUACUGAUCAUGUACCCGCACUGAAAGCAAUUAGGAAACAAAAGAAGCCCGUUCAUUGUCUCCGAUAUAGAAGCUUCUCUCCACGACGACGUCCAUGUUCUAAGGACUUCUUUCAUAUGGUGAUGAAUACAAUACUAAAAGGGAUUGGCAUUUGGAAAAUCUGAAGGUCGUAAUGGAGAAUGUAUCACUUGUCGGCCAUACGAGAUCAAUAACUGUAUCUUUUGUUCUAAAACAUUGUAAAUGAUAUUCAACAAUUAGCACGCAAUAUUAUAUAUUCUUUUGAUUCGAUGCUAACUUACAAACAUCAGUCUUAACUAUC